Molecule: ribosomal RNA, 378 nt
Filed under: uncultured bacterium
Lineage: Bacteria
Description: bacterial SSU rRNA
Rfam family: Bacterial small subunit ribosomal RNA
Source: RNAcentral
AUUGAACGCUGGCGGCAUGCCUAACACAUGCAAGUCGAACGGUAACAGGCCCUUCGGGCGCUGACGAGUGGCGGACGGGUGAGUAAUGCUUAGGAAUCUGCCUAGUAGUGGGGGAUAACCCGGGAAACUCGGGCUAAUACCGCAUACGUCCUACGGGAGAAAGCGGGGGACCUUCGGCCGUCGCGCUAUUAGAUGAGCCUAAGUCCGAUUAGCUAGUUGGUAGGGUAAUAGCCUACCAAGGCGACGAUCGGUAGCUGGUCUGAGAGGACGACCAGCCACACUGGGACUGAGACACGGCCCAGACUCCUACGGGAGGGCAGCAGUGGGGAAUAUUGGACAAUGGCGCAAGCCUGAUCCAGCGAUGCCGCGUGUGUGAAG